Molecule: long non-coding RNA, 298 nt
Organism: Micropterus salmoides (largemouth bass)
Lineage: Eukaryota; Metazoa; Chordata; Actinopteri; Centrarchiformes; Centrarchidae
Exons: 4
Source: RefSeq, a predicted model, not a curated record
GUUCUUACCGCGGCGGAGAAAGUCUCUCUGAACAAACAGAGUCCCGAAGCGGAGGAGAAGCUCGGCGCUCUGGUCGACGCUCUGUGUGUUGAAGCUGUGGAUAAAAUCCUGAAGAUGGUCGAGGAGGCGGCCGUGCAGAGAGACCUGAAGGAUCCACCUGAGACCACAGAAGGUGACGGCGGCGGCGAGCGCCCCCCCACAGAGCAGACCUACAUGCUGGUUUACAGGAACGCCGCCGCCGACCCGAGUGUGUGCUGCUGCCGCUGCAGAGCGAGGCUAAUGCUAAUGCUAACGGUGA